GAAGAAGCGCCGUCGUAGAUCUUCAACGCUUUCUGAAGAAGUCGUAGUGCGUAUUCAUAGUCGUCCAUCAACUCGUACACGGCGGAAACGUCGAUAAAACCUGUGGCGAUUUCCUCCAAAGGAGUCCCCGGAGGUGGUUUUCCGUAGAUCUUGAGAGCGUUCUCACAGUAAGAAAUCGAUUCCCGUAUCUUACCUAUCUUGUUGUGUAGGUAGCCUAAUCUGACGAAGACGGAAGCCACGGCGGGAUGAGCAUCGCCUUUGGAGGAUUUGAGUUUGUUCAGAGCUUUAUGGUAGGCAAAAAUGGCUUCUUCGUAGCGACCUAGCGACAAGUAAGCAUCGCCGAUGCUGCAGUCUAUGGAUGCCAUGUCGAUUUCGCGACCGUCGGCGGUCAUACCCAUACUUGCCAGCACCAGAUGCUCCAGCGCUGCAUCGUGGUCCCCUUUGGUCUCGCAGAUCAAACCCAUCAGCUUUCUAUCGUCAUUUUGCGCCGAAAUCGCCGCCGGAUCGGUGUUCUCCAUGUGGAUGUCAAGAGCGAGUUUACAGAGUUUCUCAGCCUCGUCGAACUGUAAGGCUUGGACAUGGACUUCGGCCAAAUACCGACAGGUUUCGCCGACUCGUCGGUCGGAUUCUCCCAAUGCUUGUUUCUGAAGUUGAAGACCGUCGGAAUAACAGAUGAUAGCAUUCUCUAACAUACCCAGCAUCCCAUACGUGUCUCCCAGUUGCAUACACCCCGCGAAUUUGGCAAGAGCAUGACCGUCAUUGUUGUUAUCAUUCACCACCGGAAUCGAAAUGGCCCGUUUGAGAAUGGGGAUAGCGAGGGCGUGUUGACCUAAACUGCAAUGGAUUGCGGCGAGAGCAUGAAGACUCAUCACCAAAUCCAAACUCGGUUUUCCAUCGGAACAUUUCUCAAGAGAUUUCGAAGCUCGGAUUGCGUAGUCCAAUGCUCGCCGAGGAUUGUCACUUUGAAUCAAGUCGAUCGCAUGUUUGAGAAGAAAAGGUCCGAGGUUAGGGUUUUCAACCAACAUCUCCGAACCAGACGUCACCUCGGUGUCAUUUCCAACCCCAACAUCCUUCUUUGUCUUCUUCUUCCUCACCGAAUUCCUCUUCUUCCUCGUCUUCACACUUCCAACCUCCUCCUCUCGAUCUUCAUUAUCCUUCUCCACGAAGUGAUCUUCCUCCGGUGAAAUAUCUAAAUUCGUCGUUAUUUCCCCACCGACGAGAUGUCGGAGUUCGGAGUCGAUUCUGGAUUCAUCGUCGUCGUCUCCAUCAGAUCCAUAAGUGUUCCGGGAAAGCGAACCAUCUUCGGAGCUCUCCUCCAUGUCGCAGACAUUAUCGUAGAGUUGAUCUAUGGAAGUAUCUACGCAGGACGAAGCUUGCUGCUGCUGCUGGAUCUUUGGAGAAUUCAAAUCACCAUUGGAUUUCAUAUCUAAUUAUGAACAUGUAUCGAUCAAUUACAAUUUACAACAGUCAAACAAAGAUCAAGAAAGAAAAUGUCAGAUCGGAAGAAGAAGAAAAAGAAAAAAAAGCAUCGACCAUCCAUACCUCAAAAUCAAACAGUUGGGGAAAUCUGGAGAAAUUGUCGUUGUAUGUAUGUAUGACCCCAAAAUCCAUACAUAUGUGCUUCGAUCUUCCUUUUUAUAUCCAUUUUCCAUCUAAUUUACGGUUUUACCCCCGAAUCUAAGAAUCUUACAUUGUAUACUUUUUUGGGAUGGUCGGAACUGGGGCCCAUAAUAUUAAA
Molecule: long non-coding RNA, 1738 nt
Filed under: Zostera marina
Lineage: Eukaryota; Viridiplantae; Streptophyta; Magnoliopsida; Alismatales; Zosteraceae
Description: long non-coding RNA (ZMAR_LNC001069)
Source: RNAcentral